GGGCCAUGGAGAAGCUGCGGCGAGUCCUGAGCGGCCAGGACGACGAGGAGCAGGGCCUGACUGCGCAGAAUACUUAGUUAUUUUUAUCUGCUUUUCAUGCUACAUAAGGAUUCACAGAUUAAUCUCUUGAGGUCCUGGAUGCCUCAUCCCUUAGUUUCAACACCAGAUUGAAAUGGUUUGCCAUCUGCUUCGUAUGUGGCGUUUUCUUUUCUAUUCUUGGAACUGGAUUGCUGUGGCUUCCGGGCGGCAUAAAGCUUUUUGCAGUGUUUUAUACCCUCGGCAAUCUUGCUGCGUUAGCCAGUACAUGCUUUUUAAUGGGACCUGUGAAGCAACUGAAGAAAAUGUUUGAAGCAACAAGAUUGCUUGCAACAAUUGUUAUGCUUUUGUGUUUCAUAUUUACCCUGUGUGCUGCUCUUUGGUGGCAUAAGAAGGGACUGGCUGUGUUAUUCUGCAUAUUGCAGUUCUUGUCAAUGACCUGGUAUAGCCUGUCGUACAUCCCAUAUGCAAGGGAUGCAGUUAUUAAAUGCUGUUCUUCUCUCCUAAGUUGAAAAUCAGAAACUUGUGGAAAAGAGCACUUGAAUGUUGGUACUCUAUGUUUGGUGAAGUUUGCUUUUCCCCAUAAAACACUCCAGGAACAACUGACGUGACAGUUGAAGACCGUUUUGUACUAAGUCUCAUUUUGUAUACUGGUAAAAACUACAUGCUUGAUUAAACCAUUAAAUGCUUGUAACUUUAAA
This 737-nucleotide long non-coding RNA is filed under the name Homo sapiens (human). RNAcentral's name for it is "HSALNT0116616". Lineage: Eukaryota; Metazoa; Chordata; Mammalia; Primates; Hominidae. The record is from RNAcentral.